GGUCUUAUAUUCAUUAUAUGAUUAUAAAAUGCAAUUUUCUAGGUGUAAUUAAUUUACUGAGGCUU
RNAcentral lists this transfer RNA (65 nucleotides) under Sorineuchora formosana. RNAcentral's name for it is "tRNA-Cys". The record is from RNAcentral. Lineage: Eukaryota; Metazoa; Arthropoda; Insecta; Blattodea; Pseudophyllodromiidae.